This 641-nucleotide long non-coding RNA is filed under the name Trifolium pratense (red clover). RNAcentral describes it as "long non-coding RNA (TPRA_LNC001792)". The record is from RNAcentral. Lineage: Eukaryota; Viridiplantae; Streptophyta; Magnoliopsida; Fabales; Fabaceae.
AAAAUUAAAACAGAAUAAAUUAAAAAAUAAGACAAUAUGCUUCUCAAUAUGCUUCUCAUAUCGUGAUUGUGUAUUCGACGACACCACCACCAACCCCAACUUGGACGAUUCUUAUUCACUGUAACUGGAAUGCAGCGGCGGAUACACGGUGUUCGGCGAUGCAACGGCAGUGUUCGACAAUGAAGAAAAAAUGCACAGGACAGGUUUGCGGCGGUAGUCGGCAAUGAGCGGCGGGUUGCCGGUCUCAGAGAUCGAUGUUGGACGGUAUUGUUGAGUUUGAGAAGUAUGACAAUUGAAGAUGAAGAUCUGGCUGCAAGAUCUGGUUUUUAUUACUGUUUUUAGUUUUUUCUUUAAAAACAAAACUUGUUACAGAUAGCAGUAAAACACAUUGCAAAUUAAUUUCACAAUGAGUAAUGAGAGAUUUUGUGAAUGAAUCCAGAGAUUGCAGCCACUAAAUUUGUUGUGGAAGAUUUUCAAAAAAAAAAAUUGCUGUGGAAGAUGAAGGGGAAAAAGGUUUGCUGUGAAAAGAUGCAGGGUAUUUUGUUUUGGAAGAAUCCUCUCAUCCAUUAGAUUGAUCUAACGGUUCAGAUUUGGAGAAGGAGAGAGAAGGAGGUAGUUAGGGAAGGAGACAAUCCGGAUCC